UCGGGCGGCACGUGGCCGGCGUUGCUGUUGUUGUUGCAGUGCUGCAGGCCCAGCGUCAGCGAGACGCUGCCGCCGAGGUCGCCCAUGUUGCCGCCGUACCCCACGAACCUGGCGUCGUCGCCGUGGUGCGCGAACGCGUCCUGCAGGAGGCUGCCGCCGCCCGGCCCGUGGUGGUUCAGGCUGAGCCCCCCUGGCGCGUACGUCGUGCCCAUGUCGCCGCCGCCGAGGCUGGACAGCGGACCGGCGUCCAUGCUGGCCACCGGCUCCGACUUGUAGGCGAUGAGCAGCUGGCUUGCGCCGGCAUGCGCCGACGUGCUCUGGAACUCGUCGCGGUCCUGGUCCUCGGAGCACGCCGCCUCGUCGACCUUGCCGU
Molecule: long non-coding RNA, 373 nt
Filed under: Hordeum vulgare
Lineage: Eukaryota; Viridiplantae; Streptophyta; Magnoliopsida; Poales; Poaceae
Description: long non-coding RNA (HVUL_LNC010977)
Source: RNAcentral